GGACGGGUGAGUAACACGUGGGCAACCUACCUGUUAGACGGGGAUAACUCCGGGAAACCGGGGCUAAUACCGGAUGACGCAUUGAACCGCAUGGUUCAAUGAUGAAAGAUGGCUUCUAGCUAUCACUAACAGAUGGGCCCGCGGCGCAUUAGUUAGUUGGUGAGGUAACGGCUCACCAAGGCGACGAUGCGUAGCCGACCUGAGAGGGUGAUCGGCCACACUGGGACUGAGACACGGCCCAGACUCCUACGGGAGGCAGCAGUAGGGAAUCAUCCGCAAUGGACGCAAGUCUGACGGUGCAACGCCGCGUGAGUGAUGAAGGUCUUCGGAUCGUAAAACUCUGUUGUUAGGGAAGAACACGUGCUGUUCGAAUAGGGCAGCACCUUGACGGUACCUAACCAGAAAGCCCCGGCUAACUACGUGCCAGCAGCCGCGGUAAUACGUAGGGGGCAAGCGUUGUCCGGAAUUAUUGGGCGUAAAGCGCGCGCAGGCGGUUCCUUAAGUCUGAUG
This 510-nucleotide ribosomal RNA is filed under the name Alkalibacillus flavidus. Its description in RNAcentral is "bacterial SSU rRNA". It matches the Rfam family "Bacterial small subunit ribosomal RNA", at positions 100 to 594 of the family's 1533-position model. Lineage: Bacteria; Bacillati; Bacillota; Bacilli; Caryophanales; Bacillaceae. The record is from RNAcentral.